CAAAAAGAAAGUGGCACAACAUUUUUCAAGUGCUGAAAGAAAAGAACUGUCAUUCCAGAAUUCUAUAUCCAAUGAAAAUAUGCUUCAGGAAUGAAGGUUAAAAUAAAAACAUUCUGUGAAUCAGAAUAAAGAAAACUAAGAAUUUUUUGCCAGUGGACAUGCUCAAAAAGAAUUGCUAAGGAAGUUCUUCAGACAGAUGAAAAAUGACACCAGAUGAAAACUUGGAACAUUGAGAAUGGAGGAAAAGCAACAGAAAUGGCUAGAAUUCUCCCAUAAAGACCAUUUGCACAUCAACUAUUUGGCUACGUGAAAAGGAGAUAUGAUUGUAUGUGGCACUGCUGGAGACAACUCUUGAAGUCAACUGGGCACCUG
This is a long non-coding RNA of Symphalangus syndactylus (siamang), 372 nucleotides long. RefSeq lists it as uncharacterized. Lineage: Eukaryota; Metazoa; Chordata; Mammalia; Primates; Hylobatidae. The record is from RefSeq and is a predicted model, not a curated record.